CCUAUUUACAACUACUAAACUGUCGUGCAAAAUACGACAACACAUAUACUGUGAUUUUUAAUACAAAUAUUGUAACGUAUAUAAUAUGAAAAUAUCCACACUCAAAUUAAGUACUCAUUACAAUUAUUGUCACACUAUUUUACAACAUAGUGUGUACUACUAUAGUAACUAUCUCGAACCAUUACUCCAUUCCCUGACUAGUCUCAGCUAUACUUUCAUUUCCUGAGAAGAACAAUGGAACAAAAAGGGUGAGCUCAACUAGCCCAGUAGAUAAUAUCAUAACUAAGAUAAUGAAGAAUAAUUUAUCUUUAGCCUUCAACAAUGAUAAAUCAGAUAAAAUAUAAUAGACAACAAAUUUUAAAUCAACAACUGUAGUGGAACAAGCAAUCCAUUAGACGAGUCAGGUAGAUCAUGAUGUCUACUAUUUUCUAUAAUUUAAAAAUUCAUCAUCAAUAUUUUAUCCUUGUAACAUGAAUCAACAAUUUAUAUUUGUACUACAGGCCAAAUAUAUUCAUUUGUAUCACUAGUGGUCAUGAUCAUGCCAAACAAAAGUCCAUAUUUGCACUACGGGCCAAAGAGAACUCUCACCAUAAGCCUUUAUCUGUAACACCAAAGGUCAUGAUUAUACCAAUACACAAUUCCUGGUCAUAAUCAUACUAAUCAACAGUCUAUCUUUGCACUAUGGGCCAAAUAUAACUUUUCACCACAAUUUAAGUCUGAGGAUGAUAACAAUGAUAUAAAGGAUAAAUAAAAGUGAGAUCAAGAAUAAAUAUUAAAUAUUUGUAAUUUAAUUUAUUCAGAGUUCAAGAAUGUCCAAAUUGUCAACAUGAUAACCAAUUGUGGAGUAAAAUUCAAGAAUAAUAUUUAAGACUUAUAUUUUAGAGAUAAUUUGGAUAGAAAAAGAAAACUAAAUUCUGUUGUGAAUAGUAUUCCGGCGUGAAUAGUACUGCGACACUUAAAAUUUAAUAAGAAAUUUAGGUAAUAAAUUAUUCAAGUGAAAAUGAUAUUAGAUGAAACGCAAACCUCAAGAACUUUCUAAUCAUUUCAGAAAUUAUAGAAGCAAUACUUACCAUAGUAAGUUUAGAUUUAGGAAUAUGAAUUGAGGUAAUAUCAUAAUAUGGAGUAUGAAAGAAAAUGAUACCCCUUACGAGUAUUGAAAGAAAAUAAUAUCAUUUAUCUUAGUAGGAGACUAGAUCUGACUGAUAUAUAGGAGAUUAUGUUGAGAAAAUUUUACACUAUAAGCUACACUCAAAGUAUCCUUAUACUCAAAGAAAUACACACAAUAUUAUAUAAGAAAAAUUUUUGUGGUUCUGGUGUGUCCUUCAUCGCUCAACUGAGCACUCUAUAAAUAGGGUUAAGGAGGCACGCGAAAUUUGACAAAGUUUCACACACUAUGUUUGACGAAAAAGGGUUGGUGUGUGGUAGGUGUUUAUUGACCAGCCACCUAAUUUGACAAAAGAGAAAUGGUUUGCUAAAUGCUAAAAAACUUAAAUAAUUGGUGGGCUCCGGCUAGGUUAAUGGAAAAUAAAAAUAUGCCCAACAGUUCAGAAGAUUAUAUUUUUAAGAGCAAUCUGUCCAUUCAUAUUAAAAUGCCCCAUUAAUAAUAUAUGCCAUCUUUUCUUCUUAUUGAAUAAAUAAUAAUAUAAGUAUUUGAUUAAUAAUGGGGUAAUCACCCUCGUGACUAUGGAUGACAAAAGAUGACAAUCAUCAAAAUUGAGGGCUCAUUAGUGGAGAAUAAUUAUGGUUCCUGUCCAAAAAUAUAAGCUAAACUUACAACGUCUUAUGACAAACCCCUCUAUUUAUAUCAAAAUUGAACACAAUUUUUAUUUAUUACUUAUUUACAACUCUUCAAUUUUUCAAUAAUUAUUCCUAAUUAAUAUUAUACACUCACAAUACUGACAACCAGAUCGUUCCCAGGAAAGAAGGGGCUUUCCGAUAAGGAUUUCUCCUUAUUGGCGCGCAAUUAUAUAACCUAACCCUUUUCUUCGACAUAACUUUCUAGACAUUGUCAAUAAUGCUAUCUAAUAAUAUCAUUUCAAUAAUAUGAGUUACAGUGUCGUGAAAAUUAUUGAUUUAUUGUGAAAUACUAUUCAGUUGUUACUAUGACAAUUAUUGAGUCAAUAAUAUGAAAUAUUCUAUAAUUAUCACUGUAGCAAUUAUUGAAUCAAUAAUAUGAAUUACUGUGCAAUACCGUGUGCUACUGUGGAAUAACACAUUUUACUGUACUUUUAUCAUCGGGUAUUUAACGGUAAAAGUUUUACCGUCAAUUUUUUUAAAAAGAUUAUUUCUGUCGCUUUUUAUAUCCGACAGUUAUUCCGUUGUGGGGACCACCAAUGAUUGGUUAUUUCGGCACUGUCGUACUUUACCUAUAAGACCCCAACUUUUAUGAAUAAAGAUUUAAUUUUUACUAAAUAUCAUUUUUGAUUAAUAAGGUGUGAAUUUGAUAUAAUGUUAUAGUUGUGGGUAAUGUUUAUAAAUUUUGCAAAGUAUGCAAGUUGUCAUAAAAUAUUCAUUUGGUCAGGGAAUAUUCGUUUUAUCAGGGAAUAUUCGUACGAUGGCACAAUCAUUGGUGGACCCCAUAACGGAAUUACUAUCGGAGUUAGAAAACUACAGAAAUAACUUUGUAUAAAAAUAAUGGCAAAACUUUUACAUUUAACUGUUGAAAUACCCGGUGAUAAAAGUAAAGUAUAUGCGUGGUUGUAUUGUAGCACAUGGUAUUGUACAGUAUCUUUGAUUAUUGAUGUUUACGUGAGAAGUCACUCAGUUAUAUUCAAUUAUUACCACAAUAAGCUGCAUAGUAUCUCAUAUUAUUGAUUUAAUUAUUGUCAUAGUAUCAUCUGCAUAAUAUUUUAUAUUAUUAAAUCAAUAAUUGAGACGAUAAAGUUAUUCAUAUUAUUAUUUGUAUUAUUGACAAUGUCUAGAAAGUUCUAUCGUGAAAAGGGGUUUGGUCAUCUAAUUGCGCGCCAAUAAGGAAAAGUCCUUAUCGAAAAGCCCCCUCUUUCCUGAGAAUGAUUUGGUUGUUAAUAUUGCGCGUUAUAAUAUUAAUAAUGAAUAAAUGUUAUUAAAAAUGUGUUUUGAGAAGCCAAGUGAAUUGAGAUAAAUAAAGGGGUUUGUCAUGAAUUAUUUGUUGUAAAUUUAGUUUAUUACAUGGACCACCACUUACUCAGUUUUCAAAAUCGUCGGUAGAAAGUUAUCUCAGUUUUUGUUUUAUAGUAAUAAAACAGAAAACUUUUUAUAUAAAACAGAAAACUUUUUAUAAAUAGAAUAUAUUAUAUUUUAUUAUGUUGCACAGUACUGCAUAGUGUUUGUAUAGUACUGCAUAGUGCAUCAUAGUAAAAUUAGUAAUUUUUGUUCUGUGUCCGUGAAUUCGCUCGUGAGUUUUCGACUGUUCACCCAUGAUUUUCUAAUUCAAAUAGUGCUAUACCAUUUUCCUAUAAAUAGAAUGCCCAGUUUAGAAAUGAAAAUCACACCAGAAUCAGAGAAUUCUUCUUCUAUAAUAUUGAGCGUAUUUCUUUUGAGGUUAAGAAAACUUUGAGCGUUGCAAAUAGUGCAAGUUUUCUUCAAGAAUAACCCCGCUAUGCCAGUCAAAAGUACUCUCCUUUUAAGGUAAGAGAUAUUAUUUUCAUUCAAGAAUAGUAAGAAAUAAUAUUUUCUUCCAUACUCUGUAGUAUGUAAGUAAUAUUAUUUAGUUUUAUAUAUUCCUAAUUCUACACUUAUUUUGACAAGUAUUGCUUCUAUACUCCUUAAAAUUAGUAGAAUAUCCUUGAAAUUUGUGCUUCAUCGAGUAUCUUUUCACGGGAAUAUUUUUUUUGAACAUUCUUGUUAAAUUUUAAUCUUUUCAUGUCGGGGUACUAUUCAUGGGGUACUAUUCACUCGGGUACUAUUCACCCGAUUCUUGAAUUUUACUCCACAAAGCAGUUAUCAUGUUGACAAUUUGGACAUUCUUAAACUCUGGAUAAAUUGAAUUAUAAAUCUUUAAAAUUUAUCCUUGAUCUAACUUAAUUGAAUUCUUAUAUCAUUGUCAUCAUUCACAUGCUUAUAUUGUGAUGAAAGUCAUCUUUGGCCCGUGGUGCAUAGAUGGACUGUUGAUUGAUAUGAUUAUGACCAAGAAUUAUGUAUCGGUAUAAUCAUGACUUGCAAUGUUACAAAUGGUGUGGUAAAAGUCCUCAUUGGCCCGUAGUGCAUUGAUGGACAAUUAUUUGGCAUGAUCAUGACUAUUGGUGAAAAUAACAAAUAUCCUUGGCCCGUAGUGCAUGGAUAAUUUGUGGAUGUGAUACUAACGAAUAUCAUUGGCCCGUAGUGCAUGGAUAAUUCGGUGAUGUGGAUUAUUUAUUGAGCUGUGUUACAGCGAUUAAAUAUUAAUGAUGAACUUUUAAAUCAUAGAAGAUAGUAGAUAUCAUGCUCUACUUGACUCUUUUAAUGGAUUAUUUGUUCCGCUGCAGUUAAACUUGUUGUCUAUUGUAUUCUAUCAAUUUUACACUGUUGAAGGCUAACGAUAAUUUAUUCUGCAUUAUCUUAGUCAUAAUAUUCUUUAAUUGGCUAGUUGAGUUUACCCUUUGCUUUCAUUAUUCUCUUCAGGAAAUGAGAAUAUAUAUAGUUGGGACUAGUCGGAGAACGGAGUGAUGGUCCGAGAUGGUGGCUAUAAUAGUCCUCACUAUUUUAUAAAAUAGUGUGAUAAUAAUUGAAAUGAGGACUCCAUUUGAGUUUGGAUAUUGUCUAUGAGACAAUAUUCGUGUUAAAACUCUCAGCUACGUUUUGUCGUAUUGUAUAAAUGAAGUUUGUAUUUGAUUUCUGUACCAUGUAUUUGGCGACUUAAAAUGGGUAAUGUAUACCUAUUUUUGGGGCGUCACAUUACCGAAUAUAAUAUUCCCGACAGAAAGAAUAUUCCCCGACAAAACGAAUAUUCCCCGACAAAAUGAAUAUUUUCUAACAACUGUUUACUUUGUAUAAUUUGCACAUAUCACCCACAACUAUAACAUUUAUUAAAUCAACACCUUAAUAUUUAGAAUAAUAUAUAAAGAAAAUUAAAUUUUAUUCAUAAAAAGUUGGGGUUUUACAACUUCCCCUCCUUAUGAAAUUUUAUCCUCAAAAUUGAUGUACGUACCUAGUAUUUUGAAGAGGUGAGGAUACCUUGCUUUCAUUUUCGAUUCUAACUCCCAAGUCAUUUCCUCAAUAUCAUGGUUUCUCCAUAAAACUUUGACUUGAGGUAUAGCCUUUGAGCGUAGAAUAUGUUCCUUUUUAUCCAAGAUCUUGACAAGUACCUCCUCAUAUGUUAAAUCUUCUGCUAUCUCGUCUGGUUCUAAUUCAAUAAUGUGGUUUGGGUCCUCGACAUAUUUACGUAGCAUGAAUAUGUGAAAAAUGUUAUAAACAUGAGACAUGCUUGACGGUAAGGCGAGUCUAUAGGCCACAACUCCUACUCGGUCGAGGAUUUCAAAUGGACCAAUAAAUCGAGGGUUGAGCUUUUCUCUCUUUUUGAAUAUCUUAAAUCCUUUCCAUAGAGCAUCGCAUAACAAUACAUGGUCUCUGAAAUUGAAUUCCACGUCCCUUUGAUGAAGAUCAACAUAACUCUUUUGCCGAUCUUGUGCUGUUUGUAUAUGCUGUCGGAUCAUUUGAAUCUUUUCCGUGGUCAUACGUACUAAUUCUGGUCCCAACAAUGUUGCUUCACCUACCUCAUCCCAGCAUACUAGACAAUGACACUUUCUUCCAUACAAUGCCUCGAAUGAAGCCAUGCAUAUACUUGCUUGAUAAUUAUUAUAGGAGAAUUUCACCAAUGGUAAGUACUUGUCCCAACGUACGCAAAGUCUUAAUAGAUCUUCAAGAGUUUGAAUAUUCCUUUCGAAUAGCCUGUUUGUCUGGGGAUGAUAUGUAGAACGGAAUCGUAAUUCAGUGCCCAUAGCUUUUUGCAAGCUGACCUAAAAUCGUGAAGUAAAUCUGGGGUCUCGAUCAGAGAUACUAGCAUGCCAUGUAAUUUUAUAAUCUCAUUUAUCUACAUACGAGCAAGACGUUUAAGUGAAUAGUUCUCUCGUAUGGGCAAGAAAUGAGCAGAAUUGGUCAAUUUAUCUAUAAUGACCCAAAUUGUGUCUAAGCCUUGAGAAACCUUGGGAAGACCCGUUAUAAAAUCCAUAUUAAUAUGUUCCCACUUCCAUUAUGAAAUCUCAAGUGGUUUCAAUGGACCCUUUGACACUUGAUGCUCUGUCUUGAUGCGUUGAAAAUUUAAACACCUUGAGAUAAACUCCGUAAUCUAUCUCUCCAUGUUGCUCCACCAAAAUGCAUGUCGAAGAUCACGAUACAUUUUGGUACUUAUAGGGUGGAUUGCAACGGGUGUGUUGUGUGCCUCCAUUAUGAUUUUAUAUUUUAAAUUAGGGUUGUUAGGAACACAAAGUCUAGAGUUGACUCGAAGUAUCCCUUCCUCAUCGAUCCUUGCUUCUUGAACAACACCUUCUUGUACUUUCUUUUUCCUAUUCACCAACUCUGGGUCUGUAGCUUGAGCAGCUUUAACUUUAUCGAUUAAAGUCAGUUCUACUCGUAUAUUUUCCAUCUUUACGUGGGUCCCUAGAGUAUUUAAAUCUAUUUCCAUCUUUUGUAAGUCAUAAAAAAUGGGCCUUUGUGUUUACAAUAUCGCACUCGUUCUCGCAUAUGAUCUUCUACUAAAUGCGUCAGCUACCAUGUUCGCUUUUCCAAUAUGAUAUUGGAUGGUAUGGUCAUAAUCUUUUAAUAGCUCAAGCCAACUUCGUUAUCGCAUGUUGAGUUCCUUUUGGGUGAAGAAAUAUUUAAGGCUUUUAUGAUCGGUAUAGAUCUCCACUUUCUCCCCAUACAGGUAGUGUCUCCAGAUCUUUAACGCGAAAACAACUGCUGCCAACUCUAGAUCAUGGGUAAGAUAAUUUCUCUCAUAUUUUUUGAGUUAUCGAGAGGCAUAAGCUAUGACUUUUCCAUAUUGCAUGAGAACGCAACCUAGACCUUUGCCUGACACAUCGCUGUAGAUGACAAAUCCCUCCGAACUUGAUGGUAUUUUCAAAACAUGUACUGAAAUGAGUCUUCUUUUGAGUUCAUAGAAGCUCUUCUCACAUUCCUUGCUCUAUACGAAUUUUGUAUUUUUUUGAGUCAGUUGAGUUAAUGGAGUGGCAAUUCGAGAAAAUUCUUUUACGAAUCUUUGAAUAAUCAGCUAGGCCCAAAAAGCUACGUACUUCGGUUACUGACUUUGGUUUCUCCCAAUUUGAUACUUCUUCAAUCUUUUUCAGGUCAACUGAUUCCAUAUUUCGAUAUCACGUGACCAAGGAAUGCUACUUUCUCAAGCCAGAACUCACAUUUCUUCAACUUGACAUAUAACUUGUUUUUAUGAAGCUUUUGGAGUAUCAGUCUCAAGUGUUACUCAUGAUCGUCACGACUUUUGAAGUAUAUGAGGAUGUCAUCAAUAAAGACAACCACGAAAUGAUCCAAAUAUUCUUUAAAUAUCCAGUUCAUCAUAUCUAUAAAGGUAGUAGGAGAAUUAGUCAAUCCAAAAUACAUGACUAAGAAUUCAUAAUGUCCGUACCGAGUUCUGAAGGCAGUCUUUGGAAUGUCAUCAGUUUUAAUCUUUAACUGAUGAUAUCCAGAAUGAAGAUCGAUCUUUGAAAAGAAUUGAGCACCUUGUAACUGGUCAAACAGGUCAUCAAUGCGAGGUAAUGGGUACCUAUUUUUGAUAAUGACAUGAUUCAGCUCCUGAUAGUCAAUGCAGAGUCUCAUACUCCUGUCUUUCUUCUUUACGAAUAAAACAGGAGCACCCCAAGGAGAUGUACUAGGACAUAUGAAGUCGAUAUCUAACAACUCUUGUAGUUUCUAGUUUUACUAACUUUAGCCAAUUCUUGCCAAUUUCAUUUAAGGCCUCUUGGGUUCAUUGCAACACUUGAAUUAUUACUAGUUAAAACAAUUUUUAGCAUCCCCUUGACUUUGCUAAGCAUAGAUUUGGUUUUGACCCUCUAAACCUAGCUUUUUCAAGCUUUUACAUAAUAAUUUCUCAUGUUCUUGUAUACAUUAGCAUUCCAACAUUUGGAAUAGCCUAGCAUAACUCUAACUCACUUUUCUAAGGUGUUAGAACUGAGUUUUAAUUAAAAUGGCAUAAUCUCAAUUUUACACUUAGAAAAAUCUCCAAAAUCUACAGUUUUGUUGAUUUUAUAGGAUAGUUUAGUGAUUUGUUUGAAUUUCUGGGUUAAGUUUUUGGUUCAACCAUUUUGCCCUGCUUCUAGAUCAUACAUCAAGGUAUUUUAAUCAAGGUUUAGGUUUCUUAUUCAUUUCAUUUAAGCUUCUCAAAACAGUGCCUCAAACUGGCCUGUUUUCUAACUUGUUGCAAAAACUAUUUUUAACAGUUUAUCAUUUUUCUCCAGUUUUGGCUAUAUACUUGGAUAGUCUAUGUAAGACCCCAACUUUUAUGAAUAAAGAUUUAAUUUUCUCCAAAUAUCUUUUUGAAUAAUAAGGUGUGGAUUUGAUAUAAUGUUAUAGUUGUGGGUAAUAUUUAUAAAUUUUGCAAAGUAAGAAAGUUGUUAUAAAAUAUUCGAUUGGUCGGGGAAUAUUCGUUUUAUCAGGAAAUAUUUGUACGACGACACAAUCAUUGGUGGACCCCAAAAUAAAAUUAUUUUCAGAGUUCGAAAAUGACAGAAAUAACUUUUUAUAAAAAUAACGGAAAAAGUUUUACCGUUAAUUGUUGAAAUACCCGGUGAUAAAAGUACAGUAAUACGCGCGGUUGCAUAGUAGCACAAAGUAUUGUACAGUAUCUUUGAUUAUUGAUACUUACGUGAGAAGUCACUCAAUUUUGUUCAAUUAUUACCACAGUAAUUGCUGCAUAGUAUCUCACGUUAUUGAUUCAAUUAUUGUCACAAUAUUUUAUAUUAGUAAAUCAAUAAUUGAGAUGACAAAGUUAUUCAUAUUAUUAUUUGCAUUAUAGACGAUGUCUAGAAAGUUCUGUCGAGAAAAGGGGUUUGGUCACCUAAUUGCACGCCAAUAGGGAGAAAUCCUUAUCGAAAAUCCCCCUUUUUCCUGAGAAUGAUCUGGUUGUUAAUAUUGUGAGUUAUAAAUGAUGAAUAAAUGUUAUUAAAAAUGUGUUUUUAGAAGCCAAGUGAUUUUAAAUAAAUAGAGGGUUUUUUAUGAAGUAUUUGUUGUAANNNNNNNNNNNNNNNNNNNNNNNNNNNNNNNNNNNNNNNNNNNNNNNNNNNNNNNNNNNNNNNNNNNNNNNNNNNNNNNNNNNNNNNNNNNNNNNNNNNNAAGUAUUUGUUGGACCCCCAUUUACCCAUUUUUCAAAAUAAUCGGUAGAAAGUUAUAAAGUAUAUUUAUAUAUAUAUAUAUAUAUAUAUAUAUAUAUAUAUAUAUAUAUAUUAAAAGUGUCUGUGUGUCGUGUGUGAUAAUGUGUGUGUGAGUGGUGGGUAUUAUAUAUAUAUAUAUAAAUAUUAUAUUAAUUUUAUUUUUUUAUGAAAAAUAGAAUAUAUAUUUUAUUUUAUUUGUAUAGUACUACAUAGUGUUGCAUAGUAAAAUCAAAUUUUUUAAGUUUCGUCCGUGAUUUUGCAUAGAAUUCAUCCGUGAAUUCUCAAACUGUUCACCCGUGAAAAUUCUAAAUAGUUUCCUGUCAUUCUCCUAUAAAUAGGAUGCUUAGUUUAGAAUUAAAAAUCACACCAGAAUCAGAGAAUUCUUCUUCUAUAAUAUUAAACGUAUUUCUUUAGAGUUUAAGGAAGCUUUGAGUGUAGAAAAUAAUGCAAGUUUUCAUUAAGAAUAUCCCCGCUAUACCGGUCAGAAGUACUCUCCUUUUAAGGUAAGGAAUAUUAUUUUUGUUCAGUAUUCGUAAGAAAUAAUAUUUUCUUUCAUACUCUGUAGUAUGUGAGUAAUAUUAUUUCGUUUCAAAUUCCGAAUUCUACACUCAUUUUGUAAAGCAUUGCUUCUAUACUCUUUGAAAUUAGUAGAAUAUCUUUGAAAUUUGCGCUUCAUCUAAUAUCGUUUCACAAGGGUAUUUUCUGAACAUUUUUGUUAAAUUUUAAUCUUUUAAUGUUGGGGUACUAUUCACGGGGUACUAUUCACCCAGAAAAUUGAUUUCUUUUCUGUCCAAAUUAUUUUUGAUACAUGAAUAUUAUUCUUGAAUUUUACUCCACAAAGCAGUUAUCAUGUUGUCAAUUUGGACAUUUUUAAACUAUGGAUAAAUUAAAAAUCUUUAAUAUUUAUCCCUGAUUUCGUUUGAUUGAUUUCUUAUAUCAUUGUCAUCAUCCUCAUGCUUAUAUUGUGAUGAAAGUCAUCUUUGGCUCGUAGUGCAUAGAUGGACUGUUGAUUGGUAUGAUUAUGACCAGGGAUUAUUCGGUAUAAUCAUGACCUGUAAUGUUACAAAUGAUGUGGUAAAAGUCCUCAUUGGCCCGUAGGGCAUUAAUGGACAGUUGUUGGCAUGAUCAUGACCAUUGGUGAUAAUAACGAAUAUCAUUGGCCCGUAGUGUAUGGAUGAUUCGUGGAUGUGAUAAUAAUGAAUAUCCUUGGCCCGUAGUGCAUGGAUAAUUCAGUGAUGUGGAUUAUUUAUUGAGCUGAGUCUCAGUGAUAAAAUUGAUGAUAAACUUUUAAAUCAUAGAAGAUAGUAGAUAUCAUGCUCUACUUGACUCUUCUAAUGGAUGAUAGUAGAUAGUAGAUAGUAGAUAUCCUCAGGUAAACAACAACACCGACCAAAUGAGGAACGAUGGUAUUUUCAGAGGCUUUUUGCAAUUUAUGCAACUUUAGGCGAGAAAGACUCCUGUGAAAAAUAAAGGUGGAAACACUGGCAACUCACGGUUGGUCACAGUUAAGCAAUUCAAGGAGCUAGGACCACCAGAGUUUUUGGAAAAGCCAGAACCAGUUAAGGCAGAGACGUGGAUUAAGCAGAUCACCAAGAUAUUUGAUGUCUUAGGAUGCUCCAAGGAGCAAAAGGUUCCCUUUGCCACUUUUAUAUUGCAAGGAGAGGAAGAUCAUUGGUGGGAAUCUGUAAAACGUACUCAACCUGCCGCACUGAAGAUGUCUUGGGAGAAGUUUCAAGAAUUCUUCAACGACAAGUACUUUCCUGAAAGUAUUCGUCACAUGAAGGAGGUAGAAUUUAUCAAGCUAGAGCACAAAAAUAUGACCAUGUCGCAAUACGAGGCUAAGUUUGCGAAGUUAUCCUAGUUUGCAUCCCAUUUGGUUGAUAAUGAGGAGCGAAUAACGCAAAUGUUUCUGCGAGGUUUAAAACCCAAAAUACGUUAAUACCUCAUUUCUCACAAACUGUGCUUGUAUUCAGAUAUAGUGAAUAUGGCUCAGUUAUUGGAGCACGAUAAUGAGUCAACCCUACCAAGAGAUAACAGUAGACAAAAUGAUAAUUCUAGUGGUAACAGUCAUCAAAGUGGUGACAACAAACGUGGAGGAAAUCAACAUGCCAGAAAUGGUAACCACUUCGAUGGUAACCCUGGCCAAGAUAAUAGAAGAAAUGAGUUAAGUGGAAAUUUCAAGAAGAGAAGGUUCAAUAAUGAUGGAAGGACAACAACAACAACACCUGUUUUCAAGGAAGGAGAACGACCACCGGUCGUAUGUUACAAAUGCGGAGGGGAGGGACACAUCAGUCUAAACUGUACGCAAUAAUCCAAAGCGUGUUAAAAUUACAGAAGAAGAGGUCACCUAGCUCUAUUUUGUCGUGUAGUGAAGAUAGGUCCAGCUGGGAUGGAGGCACCAAAGGUCGUACCAGACAAGUCAAAGUCGAUAGUUCAAGGGAGAGCAUUUGUCGUAACCUCCCAAAAAGCGAUGAACCCGAACGAGGUUAUCACGAGUAAGCUAAUCAUAAAAUCUUGCGAAGUCUAUACCUUAUUUGAUACCGGUUCUACCCAUUCAUUUAUUUCUCCUACUUGCGCUCAACGUUUAAAUUUAACUCCAAAAAAAUUAGAUUUUGACUUAUCUGUUGAAACUCCAUUGGGAGAAACCUUCGUUACAUCCAUUGUUUAUAAGUCUUAUUUGAUUCAAAUCGGCACCCUCACAUUACCUGUCGAUCUUCUCUCUUUGAAAAUACUUGCAUUUGAUGUGAUUUUAAGGAUUGAUUGGUUAACUACUCAUCAUGCUAAAAUUGAUUAUUUUCGUAUGGUUGUUAGCUUUCAUAUUCCUAAACAACCUAUUAUGCGAAUUCAAGAAACCAAACCACUAAAGUCAAUCACUGUCAUAUCAAGCCAUAAAGCCAUUGGUUUAUUAAAAAAUGGAUGUCAAGCUUUCUUAGUCCAUGUCACGGAUUUAAACAAAAAUACGUCAAAUUUGAAUGAUUAUUAUAUUGUUAAUAAAUUUUCUGAUGUAUUCCCUGAAGAACUUCCUGGCCUACCCCCAGAGCGUGAAAUCAAGUUUUGUAUUGAUCUUGAACGUAGUACAAAACCCAUUUCCAAAGCCCCAUAUCGAAUGGCUCCUAUUGAACUUCAGGAGUUAAAAAUCUAACUGCAGGAAUUGUUAGACAUCGAUUUCAUUCGUCCUAGUACGUCUCCUUGGGGUGCUCCUGUUCUAUUCGUAAAGAAGAAAGAUGGGAGUAUGCGACUUUGUAUUGAUUAUCGGGAGUUGAAUCAUGUCACCAUAAAAAAUAGGUACCCAUUGCCUCGCAUUAAUGACCUGUUUGACUAGUUGCAAGAAACUAAAUUCUUUUCAAAGAUUGAUCUUCGUUCCGGAUAUCAUCAGUUAAAGAUUAAAACCGAUGACAUUCCAAAGACUGCUUUCAGAAUUCGGUACGGGCAUUACAAAUUCCUAGUCAUGUCUUUUGGAUUGACUAAUGCUCCUGCCACCUUCAUGGAUAUGAUGAACCGAGUAUUCAAGGAAUAUUUGGAUAAUUUUGUGGUUGUCUUUAUUGAUGACAUCCUCAUAUACUCCAAAAGUUGUGAAGAUCAGGAGCAUCACUUGAGGCUGAUACUCUAAAAGCUUCGUGCAAACAAGAUAUAUGCCAAGUUGAAGAAAUGCGAGUUCUGGUUUGAGGAAAAAACAUUCCUUGGGCACGUGAAAUCAAAUCACGGAAUAUCUGUUGACCCAACGAAGAUUGAAACAAUUCAAAGCUGGGAGCAACCUAAGUUAGUGAUCGAAGUACAUAUCUUUCUGGGCUUAGCUGGUUAUUAUCGGAGAUUCGUGGAAGGGUUUUCUCGAAUCGCCACUCCGUUAACUCAACUGAUACGAAAGAUACAAAAUUUGGUUAGAGCGAGGAAUGUGAGAAGAGUUUUCAAGAACUCAAAAGGAGACUCAUUUCAGUACUUGUUCUGACAAUAUCAUCUGGUUCUGAGGGAUUUAUCAUAUACAUCGAUGCUUUAGGCAAAGGUUUAGGAUGUGUUCUCAUGCAAUAUAGGAAAGUCAUAGCCUAUGCCUCACGACAAAUCAAAGAAUAUGAGAGAAAUUAUCCUACUCAUGAUCUAGAGUAUACAGUAGUUGUUUUUGCGCUAAAGAUUUGGAGACAUUUCCUGUAUGGGGAGAAGGUGGAGAUCUAUACGGAUCAUAAAAGCCUCAAAUAUUUUUUCACUCAAAAGAAACUCAAUAUGCGGCAACGACGUUGGCUCGAGCUGUUGAAAGAUUAUGAUCAUAUCAUUCAAUACCAUCUUGGAAAAGUGAAUGUGGUAGUUGACGCGUUGAGUAAAAGAUCUUAUGCGGAUUUUGUAUGACUUACAAAGAAUGGAGAUAGAGUUAAAGACUCCAGGGACCUAUGUGAUGAUGUCAAAUAUAUGAGUAGAACCGACUUUAAUCGAUAAAGUUAAAACUGCUCAAGCUACAGACCUGGAGCUGAUGCGUAUGAAGAAGAAAGUGCAAGAAGGUACUAUUCCGGAAGCAAGAAUCGAUAAAGAAGGAAUACUUCGAGUCAACUCCAGAAUUUGUGUUCCUAACGACUCUGAUUUGAAGUAUAAAAUCAUGAUGGAGGCGCACAAUACACCAUUUGCAAUCCAUCCUGGGAGUACCAAAAUGUAUCGUGAUCUUCGACAUACAUUUAGGUGGAGCAAUAUGAAGAGCGAGAUAGCGAAGUUUAUCUCAAGGUGUUUAAUUUGUCAACGUGUCAAGGCGGAGCAUCAAGUGCCAAAAGGUCCAUUGCAACCACUUGAAAUUCUAGAAGGGAAGUGGAAGCAUAUUACCAUGGAUUUCGUUACUGGUCUUCCCAAGGUUUCUCAAGGCAUAGAUGAAAUUUGGGUCAUUGUUGAUAGAUUAACCAAGUCUUCUCAUUUCUUACCUAUAUGAGAAACUUAUUCACUUGCACGUCUUGAUAGUAUAUACAUAAAUGAGAUUGUAAGACUGCAUGGUAUGCCAGUAUCCAUAGUUUUUGAUCGAGAACCAAGAUUAACUUCACGAUUUUGGGUUAGUUUUUAGAAAGCUAUGAGCACAUAUUUACAUUUAAAUUUGACAUAUCAUCCUCAGACGGACGGGCAGUCGGAGAGGACUAUUCAAACCCUUGAAGAUCUAUGAAGACUCUGUGUCCUUGACUUCAAAGGAAGUUGGGACAAGUUCUUGCCAUUAGUGGAAUUCUCCUACAACAAAAGUUAUCAAACAAGUAUAGGCAUGGCUCCAUUCGAGGCGUUGUAUGGACGCAAGUGUCGUUCUCCAGUAUGCUGGGACGAGGUGGGUGAAGCAACGUUGUUGGGACCGGAAUUGGUACGCAUGACAAUGGAAAAGAUUCAAAUGAUCCGACAAUAUAUAAAAACCUCACAAGAUCGACAAAAGAGUUGUGCUGAUCUUCAUCGAAGGGACAUGGAAUUCAAUGUUGGAGAUCAUGUUUUAUUACGUGUUGUUCUAUGGAAAACAGUUAAGAGAUUUGGAAAGAGAGGAAAGCUCAAUCCUCGAUUCAUUGGCCCAUUUGAAAUCCUCGAUCGAGUAGGAACUGUGGCUUAUAGACUCGCCUUACCGCCAAGUAUAUCUCGUGUUCAUAACGUUUUUCACAUAUCUAUGUUACGUAAAUAUGUGGAAGACCCGAAACAUAUUAUUGAAUUAGAACUAGACGAAAUAGCGGAAGAUUUAACGUAUGAAGAGGUACCUGUUAAAAUCUUGGAUAAGAAAGAACAUAUUCUACGCUCCAAGGUUAUACCUCAAGUCAAAAUUUUGUGGAGAAACCACGAUAUUGAGGAAAUGACCUAGGAGUUAGAAUUUGAAAUGAAAUCAAGGUAUCCUCACCUCUUCAAUAUACCAGGUACGUACACGAAUUUCGAGGAUGAAAUUUCAUAAGAAGGGGAGGUUGUAAGACCCCAACUUUUAUGAAUAAAGAAUUAAUUUUCUCUAAAUAUCUUUUUGAAUAAUAAGGUGUGAAUUUGAUAUAAUGUUAUAGUUAUAGGUAAUAGUUACAAAUUUUGCAAAGUAAGCAAGUUGUUAUAAAAUAUUCGAUUGGUCGGGGAAUAUUCGUUUUAUCAGGGAAUAUUCGUACAACGGCACAAUCAUUGGUGGACCCCACAACAGAAUUAUUAUCGGAGUUAGAAAACGGCAGAAACAACUUUUUAUAAAAAUAACUGCAAAAGUUUUACCGUUAACUGUUGAAAUACCCGGUGAAAAAAGUAAAGUAUACGCGUGGUUGCAUUGUAGCACAUGGUAUUGUACAGUAUCUUUGAUUAUUGAUGUUUACGUGAGAAUACACUCAGUUAUAUUCAAUAAUUACCACAAUAAGCUGGAUAGUAUCUCAUAUUAUUGAUUUAAUUAUUGUCAUAGUAUCAUUUGCAUAGUAUUUUAUAUUAUUAAAUCAAUAAUUGAGAUGACAAAGUUAUUCAUAUUAUUAUUUGUAUUAUUGACAAUGUCUAGAAAGUUCUGUCGUGAAAAGGGGUUUGGUCAUAGUUAAGGUUAAAGUUAAGGGUGAUAUGUUAAAAAAAUUUCAAAGUAAGCAAAUUGUCAUAAAAUAAUCGGUGAUAAAAGUAUAGUAAUUCGCGUGGUUGCAUAGUAGCACACGGUAUUGUACAGUAUCUUUGAUUAUUGAUGCUUACGUGAGAAGUCACUCAGUUUUGUUCAAUUAUUGCCACAGUAAUUGAUGUAUAGUAUCUCACGUUAUUGAUUCAAUUAUUGUCACAGUAUUUUAUAUUAUUAAAUUAAUAAUUGAGACGACAAAGAUAUUCAUAUUAUUAUUUGCAUUAUUGACGCUCACUACACGAAAAAGGCCUAAAAGUGACCAAGACUAUCAGCGACCGCAUAUCCGGUCGCGGAUACUAUUAAUAGCGACCGACAGCUGCGACCGUAUCUUAAAGUAGUCGAUAAAUACUAUCAGCGACCGCAUGCGGUCGCUGAGAGGUCGCUAUUACAAAUUUUCCUCGUAAAAUUUGGCACGAAAUGUUGGUGCCAAGUUUUUGUGCGACCACUUAACAUCAGCGACCGCAUGCGGUCGCUAAUAAGUCCAUGCCAUUAAAAUUCAGCGACCGCCUGCGGUCGCUGAUCAAACUAAAUGAAAUCAGUAACAGGUCUUUCGCUCGACACAGAAGACGGAAGAAAAAAAGAAGAAGAUAUGGACCUCAGCAUAGAGAGAAGAGGGAAAAAGGGGGGAGAAGAGAAGGAGGAGAAGUAGAAGCUGACUGCACCAUCGGCCAGCCGCCGCCCCACCAAACACUGGUAUGUAUUUUUCAUUUUAGGUUUUCUUAAUAUAAAUUCUCUCUUCUUCUUCCUCCUGAUGAAAUUGAGAAGUCGUCGCUAGUCAAACAACUGAUUCAUUUUAUCGUGGUAACAAUGUUUCGGUUGAAUUUCCUUACAAGAUUUUGUUUUUAAGUCAAUUUUUUUUUCUCAUUUGAUGUGUUUUGUUUGCUAGAGAAUAAUCAUUCAUAUGAAUAAUCAUUUGUUUUUCGGAAGCAUCUGAAUUGGUUUAGAAGAUUUAUUGUUAGAGACUUGAAUUUUAGUUAUUUAGAUGUUACCAAGGACAGUAAUUUUCUAACAAUACCUUCCAUCCGUCCCACAAAAAGAGUCCCAAUUUGUGAAUUUUGUAAAUAUUAAGACUGUAUAUUAAAACUGUAUAUUUAUUUUAGAUGAAACAAAUUUUAAAGACUACAAAUGCGUAUCACCUUGUUCUAACUUUAGCUAGCCCUCCUUUAGUUUCACACUGUGAUGAACAUUUUUGUGUGUGCCAAAAUGACCAAGUUUGGCAUUACUUUUAGGUACUUCUUUUGGAGUAAAAUUAGAUAUGGCUGUAGAAAAAUGGUAAGUAUCAUGAUGAGCCUUAAAUUUCUGAGUUUGAAGUGGUCCAGUGAUGAAAGUGAAGGGAGAGGAUUCCAAAUUUACAAAAAAUUAAAGCUCCUUGGUAUAUAAUUUGUGGGAUGCUUCUUUUUAGGCCAUGUUUUUUGAAAAUAUAUUGUUAGAAGUUAUUUUAGUUAUCUGAUUCCAGAAUUAUAACAAUAAUAAUGUGAGGGGACGACAUCUAGGCCUAGUUGGUGUUGAGAACAUUUGAUAUAUAAUUAAUUUAUAGGAUACUUUUUUGGGGUGGCACUUCGUUAUUUUGUUGGAGGUUAAAUUGUAGUCAUCCGAUUCAGGAACCAUAACGAUAAGUGUGAGGACCCGACACCUACACCUUGGCCUAGCUAGUUGGUGAUAAGAUUAUGUCCCAUAGCGGGGAUAAAUUGACAAGAGGCCCCGAUGGAAGUGCAGCCAACUUGCCUUGGUUUGAAUGAAUGAAUGUAACCAAGGAUGGGAACUCAACUCGUCUAUAUGCCAUCCCCCCAACUUGUCCAAUUCUUUUGUGAAUGAAUGAUAACUACUUUUAUUAAAAUUAGCUGAAGUAUCAUACAACUUAUGAAAUGAAUAAAGUUGUGUCUGCUGUGUUCACAAUUAGGAUGGAAAAUAUUAAUUUGUGUAAUGAGUGAAUUUUGUGAAUUUGGUCACCCUACAAAAAGAGUCCCAAUUUGUGAAUUUUGUGAAUUUGGUCGCCCUACAAAAAGAGUCCCAAUUUCUUUUUGUAUAUUUCUCUUGGUUUGUGUCUUGGGUGCCUAGAAAUGUCCAUAUAUGCAUGUCGUCGUGCAUGUGGCUAGUCCAUAUUGUAGGGGAGACUCUGGAGAAUUUUUUUUAAGUAUUAUAAGUAUAUUGGUGAUCCACUAGAGCCUAUUAAGGGGCUUUUGGAGCUGAUGGGCUGGGAUUGGGGCCGCGAGGCCACACGAGGCCACGCCAAGCUUAGCCAAGCCUCACGGGGCCAAACCAAACUUGGUUGUCAGCAUGGUAAGCUAUUGGGGGGCUGUUAAGCCAAAAUAACAUGAUAUAAUAUAUAGUUUCUCAUACUGCUUUAAUUUACAUUCAUUCGUUAACAUUGAGUAUGCUUAAAUGUUAAUUAUAUACUUAUAAGUAUGCUCAAGUCAUAUGGUUACAAGUAUGCUCAAGUCAUAUGCUUAAAUUUUUGUUUAUUGUCAUUUUAUAUUAAUAUAUAUACAUGUUUAUAUCACUGUCAAGUUUAUGUACUAAACUAUUUAAAUGCAACUUUUGUUUAUUGUCAUAUAUACAUGUAAUCAAACAUGACUCAUAAUAACAUCUUAAAAUUUGUAAUAUACAGAUGGCUUCUGAAGCAGCGCAGAAAAAGCGCGGCUUGGGUAGGGGGCCUAAUCAUGUGCCCAAGGCCCCUACUAAUCCAGAUGAUCGGAUUCUUAUUCAGAUUCGCCCUCCUCCGAAUAGCACGUACGUCCCGCAUAUAUCAUUUAUAUAUAAGCAUUUAAGAUUCCAUUUAUUGUAUAUUGGUAAUGUUUUGAUUGAUAUUAUAUUGAUAAUGUAUAUGGAUCAAUCGUUAUUGUUUUGGUCUUAUUGUAUUGAAAAUUUGUAUAUUUAUCUUGGUUUGUGUCUUGGGUGCCUAGAAAUGUCCAUAUAUGCAUGCCGUCGCGCAUGUGGCUAGUCUAUAUUGUAGGGGAGACUCUGGCGAUUUUUUUUUAAGUAUUAUAAGUAUAAGUUUGAAAAAUGUUCAUAAGUAUUAUAACUUAGAUGUAAAUUGCUUUAAUAUAUGUUAAUUGAUGUUGUAUAUUAUAGUGAUUUUUCAGAUAAUAAGAUCGUCAAGUGCAUAUCAUUGUUGUGUUUACAGAAUUGGCCUACACAUGUGAUUACGUGGGCGAACACACCUAUCGCCCACAAGGAUGCUGUUUGAGCAGAAUUUUAAGUAUGUUUUUUUUAAUUAUGACAAAUAAUAUUAAUAUAAUAUUCAAAGGAUAAUUAUUUAGUAAUGUUAUUAUUGUUGUUUUAUUUACAGAAACGGUAUAGAUGGGAGGACGCGCAGGCUUCAGUGAUACAGACAUUAUUCUGGCAGAAAUGCGCGGUCCGCACCAAAGACAAUUUGAAUAAAGAAAGACAAAAAGCCCUUCACAAUGCCGAGAUCGACCAUCCAGGCCAGGGAGAAGAUUACAUGCACGAGCAUAGUCCCUGGUGGUGCACCCAGGCCAUAUGGGCUGAGAUGUGUGCCCAAUGGAGAGCUGAGAGCUGGGUGAAAAGACGAAAGACUGCCGCCACCAACAGAUCCUCGGGUGUACCCGAUGGCGAAAAGGCUAAAGGGACAUACAAGGGCGGUAGUAUUUCACAGUUGCAGCAUAUCACUGCCAGGGUACGUAUUUACAAGUUUUAAUAUAUGUUUACAAUCAUGAAUUGUAGAAAAUAUAUCACAUUUUUACUUAGUAAUAUUAUGCUAUUUUUUGUAUAGGAGUCUCAGUCUCAAGGUCAGCCUAUCCAUUGGCUGGAUGUGUACGUGGCCACCCGUGAUGGUCUGCCUGAGGCUAUCUAAAUAGCGGUAAUAAAUUUUAACAACUUGAUCUUGUUUAUCAAUGCUUACAGAAUUAAUUUAUUUUUAACUAUUUAAUUGUUAACAUGAUGACAGGACACUUAUAAGCGUUUAUUGAAUGAGCGCUAUCCUGAAGGCACUCCACGUCCGCCUAUUAAUCAAGAGUUGUGGGAGAGGGUGUCUGUUGUGAAGAAGAACUACAUUAAAGGUCAAGGACAACGACGACGCCCAUCCUUCAGUGGCUCAGGCUGCUCUUCUACCCAGUAUACACAGUCAUCGAGCCAUCCAGCUGUUCAUACUUCGGCUGACUGUGUGAGAGCUAUAUGUCGAGAUCGCUAUCUUCUGAAGAUACUGGGCGAGCAUCUGGGGGCUCUGAGUGAUGAGGAGUUAGCUGAAGCAGUAGCGGCAGCAACAGCAUCACAACACGGGGAUGACGACGAGGUAUAAAAUCAAUUUAUUGUAUAUAUUAUCUUAAUAUACCAAUAUUAACAUAGUUAGUAUAUAUUUGUAACUUGUUUUAUUAUUUUGUUAAUUACAGCGUGAUCAAGGAGGCGAUGAUGCUUGAUGUACCUGCUUUAGAUUAGUUUUGUUUAUAUUAGCUUUCCUCUCUUUGGAUGUUUGUAUGUUACUUAAACAAGUUUUGAAAUGUUAUUAUAUUUAUUCAAAUCAUAUUGGUUUUUAAAGGUUUAUAUACUAGUUUGGUGUAUGUGUUUGGUGGACGAUGGAUGUUUAUAUUGUUGUGUAUGCUGUUGUUAGGUAUAUGUGUUGGGAUAAAGCAGGUACAGGUUUUUGGGAAUUCUGCAAAACAGCAAAAAUUUGUUUUUUAUUUUUUUUCCAUAUCAGCGACCGCAUGCGGUCGCUGACCGUUAUUAGCGACGGAUAAAUAUUUGAGGCUUGCGGUCGCUGAUACCGGUCGCUGACACAUGGCCCAUGUCAGUUUUGGCACUGGACCAUGCUGACUCAACUUAGCGACCGGAUUUGUCAAUUCGGUCGCUCAUAUCGGUCGCAGAUAAGUCGGUCGCUCAUAGUGGUCGCUGAUGUGCAUCCCAGCGACCAGAUUUUGUGCGAUAACUAUCAGCGACCGCAGGCGAUCGCUGAUGUCUAUCUGCGACUGGAAGCGAUCGCUGAUAAACCUUUUUCUUGUAGUGGAUGUCUAGAAAAUUUUUAUCGAGGAAAGGGGUUUGGUCACCUAAUUGCGUGCCAAUAGAGAAAAAUCCUUAUCGAAAAUGGGAAUGAUCUGGUUGUUAAUAUUGUGAGUUAUAAAUGAUGAAUAAAUGUUAUUAAAAAUGUGUUUUGAGAAGCCAAGUGAUUUGAAAUAAAUAGAGGGUUUUUUAUGAAGUAUUUGUUAUAAAUUUGGCUUAUUACAUGGACCCCCACUUACUCAUUUUUUUAAAAUAAUCGGUAGAAAGUUAUAAAGUAUGUUAGUAUAUAUAUAUAUAUAUAUAUAUAUAUAUAUAUAUAUAUAUAUAUAUAUAUAUAUAUAUAUAUCAAAAGUGUGUGUGUGCCGUGUGUGAUAAUGUGUGUGUGAAUGGUGGGUAUUAUAUAUAUAUAUAUAUUAGUUUUUUUUAUGAAAAAUAGAAUAUAUUAUAUUUUAUUUGCAUAGUACUGCAUAGUGUUGCAUAGUACUGAAUAGUGUGUGCAUAGUGCUGCUAAGUGUAGCAUAGUAAAAUCAAUUUUUUUUUAACUUUCGUCCGUGAUUUUACGUAGAAUUCAUCCGUGAAUUCUCAAACUGUUCACCCGUGAAAAUUCUAAAUAGUUCCCUGCCAUUCUCCUAUAAAUAGGCUGCUUAGUGUAGAAUUGAAAAUCACAGCAGAAUCAGAGAAUUCUUCUUCUAUAAUAUUGAGCGUAUUUCUUUAGGGUUUAAGGAAGCUUUGAGUGUAAAAAACAAUGCAAGUUUUCUUCAAGAAUAUCCCCGCUAUACCAGUCAGAAGUACUCUCCUUUUAAGGUAAGGAAUAUUAUUUUUGUUCAGUAUUUGUAAGAAAUAAUAUUUUCUUUCAUACUCUGUAGUAUGUGAGUAAUAUUAUUUCGUUUCCGAUUCCGAAUUCUACACUCAUUUUGUAAAGUAUUGCUUCUAUACUACUUGAAAUUAGUAGAAUAUCCUUGAAAUUUGCACUUCAUCUAGUAUCGUUUCACAAGGGUAUUUUUUUGAACAUUCUUGUUAAAUUUUAAUCUUUUCUUGUCGGGGUACUAUUCAUGAAGUACUAUUUACGGGGUACUAUUCACCUGGGUACUAUUCACCUGAAAAAUUAAUUUCUUUUAUGUCCAAAUUAUUUUUGAUACAUGAAUAUUAUUCUUGAAUUUUAAUUUACUCCACAAAGCAGUUAUCAUGUUGUCAAUUUGGACAUUUUUAAACUCUGGAUAAAUUAAAAAUCUUUAAUAUUUAUCCUUGAUUUCGUUUGAUUGGUUUCUUAUAUCAUUGUCAUUAUUCUCAUGCUUAUAUUGUGAUGAAAGUCAUCUUUAGCCCGUAGUGCAUAGAUGGAAUGUUGAUUGAUAUGAUUAUGACCAUGGAUUAUUCGGUAUAAUCAUGACCUGUAAUGUUACAAAUGAUGUGGUAAAAGUCCUCAUUGGCCCGUAGUGCAUUGAUGGACAGUUGUUGGCAUGAUCAUGACCAUUGGUGAUAAUAAUGAAUAUCCUUGGCCCAUAGUGCAUGAGUGAUUCGUGGAUGUGAUAAUAAUGAAUAUCCUUGGCCCGUAGUGCAUGGAUAAUUCAGUGAUGUGGAUUAUUUAUUGAGCUGAGUCUCAGCGAUAAAAUUGAUGAUAAACUUUUAAAUCAUAGAAGAUAGUAGAUAUCAUGCUCUACUUGACUCUUCUAAUGGAUUAUUUGUUCCGCUGCAGUUAAACUUGUUGUCUAUUGUAUUCUAUCAGUUUAACACUGUUGAAGGCUAACAAUAAUUUGUUCUACAUUAUCUUAGUCAUAAUAUUCUUUACUGGGCUAGUUGAGCUCACCCUUUACUUUCAUUGUUCUCUUCAAGAAAUUAGAAUAUAUAUAGUUGGGACUAGUCGGGGAACGAAGUGAUGGUCCGAGAUGCUGGCUAUAGUAGUCCUCACUAUUUUAUAAAAUAGUGUGAUAAUAAUUAAAAUGAGGACUCCAUUUGAGUUUGGAUAUUGUCUACGAGACAAUAUUCGUGUUAAAACUCUCAGCUACGUUUUGUCGUAUUGUAUAAAUGAAGUUUGUAUUUGAUUUCUGUACCAUGUAUUUGGCGACUCAGAAUGGGUGAUGUAUACCUAUUUUGGGGGCAUCACAGUCUAUGCAUGUAUAUUUUAGUUAACUAAGGUUACUUUUAUCAUCAUUUCACUUUACUUGGUUAUCUAGCCAAUUUUGACCUAUCAAAGCUCACAUUAGGCUUGAAAAUAGAUCAUAACUUGAUUUUCUUAAUAGUUUUGGUCAUGACAAUGAUUAGGAAUCAUUAUAAGAAUGUAUUAGGAACUUUAUAUGAGCUUCUUAUAGUCAAUUAAGUUUAGGUAUUACAAAUUACAUAAAACAGUUCACUUUUGGGCUUAAAUUAUGAUUUUUCACAAGUCUAAUGUUCAAAACAGUUUAGGAUUGGUUUCUUAAGGUUGUGUAGCUUAUUUAUGCCAUAUUAUAACUAUUGAAACUUGCCUAUAUGGUCCAGGUAUCGUGGUUCUACAUUUAGGGGCUAAUUUCUAUUUUAAAGCUUACUUUCAUUCGUUUUUAGAUAUGAAUUUGAACCACACGUAACAUACACCUUAACUAAGUAAAGGAACACCUUUUAAAUAUCCCUUAUGGAUAUUUCAUGGUCUAUUUACUGACUCAUAAGUUCAGGUACUGAACUUGACCAAAACAGUCCCCAAAUUUGGGUUUUAAGCACAAUUUUGACUAUUAAAUCUCAAAUAGUUCCAUAGCAAGACUAAAGAAAUUUCUAGGCAUUCAAGAAAUCCUUAAAACAUCAUUAUAACAUAAUCAUUACAUACAUUACAUACUUUCAACAGUUAGCCCAUAUUUUGACAGUUAAAACAGUCCUAACUAAGCAUUUUAAGCAUGAUUUAACACCAUUUUUACCAAAACAGUUCCAAGACAUUACAUACUUAGGCUAUAUGCAUUUUUACAUAAUGCUAUUAUUAUAUAAUCGAUAUACAUGAUUUAAAACUCAUAAAUUCUAGGUUUCAUGCUUUAGACAAAAACAAUCACUAUUUAGGAACUUUAGGCAGAAUUUAGCAUACACACUCAUAACAAUCCUAUGUUAUGCUUUAUUUAAUAUCUAAGCAUGGAUGCAAGUAUAAGAGCACUAAUAUGGCACAUGGAUAUGAUGCUAGUCUUGACUGCCUUAAUAGCUAAGUCAGUUAACCAUAAUAGUCCACUACUUUAGUUCAGUAGCAACUCCUUUAAAUGAUUAGCUAGCAUACAAGGUUCAAAAAAAUAGUUGCCUGGUUUGUUUGAGCUCCUUCAAAAUGGAAAUUUGCUUAGACUUCACUAUUCUAGCAUUCAAAGUUUGGUACUAUUAUAGCAUAGAAACCAUGCGAGAAACAAGGUAUAAUCAUUAUAAGACAACUUCGAAUAACAGUCAAAAGGAUUGAUUUUUGCUUCUAACAAAACUAUCAUGCUUUGUAAGGUUUAGUAAAACAUGUUAUACUUAAGUUUAGAGCAUACUUAAAGCAUAACACACACUGCUCCAGCAACUGAACAUCAUUUUAGACUUUAAUUUACAACUAGAAAUGCAUUGACACUAUAACAGCCCCUAGUCUAACAUUUUAUCAAACAUGUAGGGUGCAGUCCAUAUAUAUAUACAUAUAGUACAUAUAUUUCUAAAUCUUUGGCCCCAACCUUAUGAUUUUAAAACAACAACCAAGACAACAAUCAAAAUAACAAAACAGUCACAUUAAUAAUACCAACACAACCACAACAAUAGCCACACUAACACAACCAAUGAUAUGCAACAGUCCCGGCCAAACCACCCGCCCACUAGCAGUUGAUUUUGCUAUCAACAGUGAUUUUAUUAAUUAUUUAAUAAUAUUUUAUUAUAUACGAAUAUCAUUAAUCAUUUAAUAAUAUUUCAUUCAUUUACAAAUAUUAUUAAUCAUUUAAUAAUAUUUUAAUCACCUUCUAAUAUUAUUAAUUAUUUAAUAAUAUUUUAAUCAUUCUCAAAUAUUAUUAAUCCUUUAAUAAUAUUUUUGUCACUCACUAAUAUUAUUAAUCAUUUAAUAAUAUUUUAAUCCUUUACAAAUAUUAUUAAUCAUUUAAUAAUAUUUUAAUUCUAAAUAUUAUUAAUUACUUAAUGAUAUUUUAAUAUAAUAUUAUUAAUCUUUUAAUAAUAUUUUAAUCAUCUAUUAAACUCAUAAACAAUUAAUUUUAAAUGUUUAUCCUCUACUAAUUCAUUUAUUUAAUAAAUCUAAAAUGCCAUAAAUAUAGCAUUUUAACAAAAAUGAUUAAAAUACCCCCCAAAAUUAUGAUUACAUCAUAUUAAGGGUCUUUUGUCAAAAAAAUUACAUUUUUACACUUUAUAAUAUCACAUUACUUAUUUUAUCCAUUUAUUCAUAACUCAAUCAUUUAAAUAAAAAUUACCAAAGCAACUUAUUAUUUUUUAUCUUUUGGGAAAUAUCAGUAUAUGAUAUCUUAGUGAUAAAAUAAUUUUUCUAUAAUUUUUCAAUUUCGUUUUCUAUUUUUAAAUAGACUAAAACAAUCCAAAAUGACAAAAUUUAUCAUAAAUUAUCCUUUUUUCAAAACAUUCCGAAAUUUAUACGGUAGACUCUACCAUAUACAAACUUCAAUUGCAUUUUCACAGUUUUCUGAGUUGUAUCUUAGGAGUUAUUACAGUUUAAUUUUAAAAUUGCAUUUUCUUGUAAAAGCCAUAACUCCAAUUCUGGACAUCCAAAAAUUUCCAUCUUUGGACAUAAUCUAUUUAACUUGUUAUACUAACAUACCACAAAAGCUCAGAAUUUUUAGAGAUCUUAAAGUGGCCGAAAUAGCCUUCAUUAAAAUUUGGCCAGGAAAGUUGUCUGAUUUUCCAUAUUUUUGCCCAGCUGGGAGUGUUUUGGAAAAAAAGAUACUACGGUUGAUUGGUUUAACAUUUUUGAGUGCUAUAACUUGGGUUUAAUAGAUAGCUCACAUAUCUAACACCCCUCUUUGACGGAUCUCAAAAAUAAUUUGUAGGUUCAAACGGUAGUGCCUCAAAGUGGCUGAUAUUUAGGGUUUUUUCCAGAUUAUGCCUACUGUACCAAAAAUAGUCCAUACGAAAAUCUAAAAUAUUUUUUUUGGUGAUUCCACUUGGAGAAGUUAGAAGAUUCGUAGAUCUAACUCCAAAAAUUGACCACACUCAAAAAUUCGAAAUAGAUUGAGAGAUGAUUGUUUAAAUUUCAUGUUCUAUUUUCUAGAAAAUCAGUCUUUUUUCACCUUUAUGCUUUGUAAGGAAUCUUCCAUGAUCUCUUGAUUAAUCAAACAUUAACCAACAUAAUACAUCUUAAUAAAUCCUAAUACGUCUUAUACUCAUGAAUCUACCAUGAUUCAUGAUCUAUUUCAUCAAACUCCCAUAAAAAUAAGAUUAAACAUAGUUUAAGGGUUAGUGUUUUAUACCUUUUUGCUUUCUUCCUUUUGCUUUCUUCUUCUUCUCUUCUCUCCUUCCCUUCAUCCGUGGCAGCCCGCUCUCUCUCUUCCUCUCUUCACAUAGUCGGGUGUGGAGUGGUGAAAAGAAGAGAAAGAUUUCUUUUUUGUUUCCUUUUUCCUUUAGCUAAGUAAUAUAUCAUUUAGGAGAGAGA
RNAcentral lists this long non-coding RNA (26341 nucleotides) under Panax ginseng (ginseng). RNAcentral's name for it is "long non-coding RNA (PGIN_LNC005080)". Lineage: Eukaryota; Viridiplantae; Streptophyta; Magnoliopsida; Apiales; Araliaceae. The record is from RNAcentral.